GCUUUCGUGGGGUAGUGGUCAGCACGCUGGGCGCUUAUUCCAGAGGUCUGUGGUUCGAGUCCCCGGUGAAAGCG
This 74-nucleotide transfer RNA is filed under the name Stegodyphus mimosarum. It matches the Rfam family "tRNA". From Rfam's summary of the family: Transfer RNA (tRNA) molecules are approximately 80 nucleotides in length. Their secondary structure includes four short double-helical elements and three loops (D, anti-codon, and T loops). The record is from Rfam by way of RNAcentral. Lineage: Eukaryota; Metazoa; Arthropoda; Arachnida; Araneae; Eresidae.